GGAGUCGUAAAGGGUACCCGUUAAGUUUUACCUCGGCCCGUACAUUUUUCUCCGGGCUGCCGGCAAGUGUCAAACGGGUGAGUAAUGCUUCGGAACGUGCCCAGUCAUGGGGGAUAACUACGCGAAAGCGUAGCUAAUACCGCAUACGCCCUGAGGGGGAAAGUGGGGGAUCUUCGGACCUCACGUGAUUGGAGCGGCCGAUGUCAGAUUAGCUAGUUGGUGAGGUAAAGGCUCACCAAGGCGACGAUCUGUAGCGGGUCUGAGAGGAUGAUCCGCCACACUGGGACUGAGACACGGCCCAGACUCCUACGGGAGGCAGCAGUGGGGAAUUUUGGACAAUGGGCGCAAGCCUGAUCCAGGCAUGCCGCGUGAGUGAAGAAGGCCUUCGGGUUGUAAAGCUCUUUCGCAAGGGAAGAAAACGUGUGGGCUAAUAUCCUGCGCGGAUGACGGUACCUUGACAAGAAGCACCGGCUAACUACGUGCCAGCAGCCGCGGUAAUACGUAGGGUGCGAGCGUUAAUCGGAAUUACUGGGCGUAAAGCGUGCGCAGGCGGUUGUGUAAGACAGGUGUGAAAUCCCCGGGCUUAACCUGGGAACUGCGCUUGUGACUGCACGGCUAGAGUACGGCAGAGGGGGUGGAAUUCCUGGUGUAGCAGUGAAAUGCGUAGAUAUCAGAGGACC
RNAcentral lists this ribosomal RNA (680 nucleotides) under Azoarcus sp. HPC1158. Its description in RNAcentral is "bacterial SSU rRNA". It matches the Rfam family "Bacterial small subunit ribosomal RNA", at positions 61 to 707 of the family's 1533-position model. Lineage: Bacteria; Pseudomonadati; Pseudomonadota; Betaproteobacteria; Rhodocyclales; Zoogloeaceae. The record is from RNAcentral.